RNAcentral lists this ribosomal RNA (446 nucleotides) under uncultured bacterium. RNAcentral's name for it is "partial 16S ribosomal RNA". It matches the Rfam family "Bacterial small subunit ribosomal RNA", at positions 29 to 523 of the family's 1533-position model. The record is from RNAcentral.
AACGAACGCUGGCGGCAGGCUUAACACAUGCAAGUCGAACGCCCCGCAAGGGGAGUGGCAGACGGGUGAGUAACGCGUGGGAACGUGCCCUUCGCUUCGGAAUAGCCCCGGGAAACUGGGAGUAAUACCGGAUACGCCGUAUUGGGAAAGAUUUAUCGGCGAAGGAUCGGCCCGCGUUAGAUUAGCUAGUUGGCGGUGUAAUGGACCACCAAGGCUACGAUCUAUAGCUGGUCUGAGAGGAUGAUCAGCCACACUGGGACUGAGACACGGCCCAGACUCCUACGGGAGGCAGCAGUGGGGAAUCUUGGACAAUGGGCGCAAGCCUGAUCCAGCCAUGCCGCGUGAGUGAAGAAGGCCUUAGGGUUGUAAAACUCUUUCGCCGGAGAAGAUAAUGACGGUAUCCGGAGAAGAAGCCCCGGCUAACUUCGUGCCAGCCGCCGCCGUAA